ACUUUAUGACAUGUAAAGAAAAUGGCGUCUGCCUGUCGACUGGAUUUUUAAAACUAGUGAAACAUAUCCUGACAAGCUUAAAAAAUUUAAAUGGUA
This is a long non-coding RNA of Haliotis rubra (blacklip abalone), 96 nucleotides long. RefSeq lists it as uncharacterized. The record is from RefSeq and is a predicted model, not a curated record. The transcript is spliced from 3 exons. Lineage: Eukaryota; Metazoa; Mollusca; Gastropoda; Lepetellida; Haliotidae.